RNAcentral lists this ribosomal RNA (437 nucleotides) under uncultured fungus. RNAcentral's name for it is "eukaryotic LSU rRNA". It matches the Rfam family "Eukaryotic large subunit ribosomal RNA", at positions 1 to 432 of the family's 3401-position model. The record is from RNAcentral. Lineage: Eukaryota; Fungi.
GACCUCAAAUCAGGUAGGAUUACCCGCUGAACUUAAGCAUAUCAAUAAGCGGAGGAAAAGAAACUAACAAGGAUUCCCCUAGUAACUGCGAGUGAAGCGGGAAAAGCUCAAAUUUAAAAUCUGGUAGUCUUUGGCUGCCCGAGUUGUAAUCUAGAGAAGUGUUAUCCGCGCUGGACCGUGUACAAGUCUCCUGGAAUGGAGCGUCAUAGAGGGUGAGAAUCCCGUCUUUGACACGGACUACCAGGGCUUUGUGAUGCGCUCUCGAAGAGUCGAGUUGUUUGGGAAUGCAGCUCUAAAUGGGUGGUAAAUUCCAUCUAAAGCUAAAUAUUGGCGAGAGACCGAUAGCGAACAAGUACCGUGAGGGAAAGAUGAAAAGAACUUUGGAAAGAGAGUUAAACAGUACGUGAAAUUGUUGAAAGGGAAACGCUUGAAGUCAG